Molecule: transfer RNA, 65 nt
Filed under: Pseudomonas aeruginosa
Lineage: Bacteria; Pseudomonadati; Pseudomonadota; Gammaproteobacteria; Pseudomonadales; Pseudomonadaceae
Description: tRNA-OTHER
Rfam family: tRNA
About the family: Transfer RNA (tRNA) molecules are approximately 80 nucleotides in length. Their secondary structure includes four short double-helical elements and three loops (D, anti-codon, and T loops).
Source: RNAcentral
GCGGCUCUAGCUCAACUGUCCUUCCAAGUCAGAUGUUGCGGGUUCAAGUCCUGCGAGCCGCUCCA